GACGAACGCUGGCGGCGUGCUUAACACAUGCAAGUCGAACGGUGAAGCUCCAGCUUGCUGGCUUUGAUCAGUGGCGAACGCGUGAGUAUCACGCGUGCAACCUGCCCCUAACUCUGGAAUAAGACCUGGAAACGGCGUCUCAUACUGGAUACGAUCAUGUUCCGCAUGUGCUCUUUCUGGAAAGUACUUCGUUUGUGGAUGGGUUCGCAGCCUAUCCGCUUGUUUGUGAGGUAAUGGCUCACGAAGGCGACGACGGGUAGCCGGCCUGAGAGGUCGACCGGCCACACUGGGACUGAGACACGGCCCAGAAUCGUACGGGAGGCAACAGGGGGGAAUAUUGCGCAGUAGGCGAAAGCCUGAUACAGAGACGCCGCGUGAGGGAUGACGGCCUUCGGGUUGUAAACCUCUGUCAGCGGGGAAGAAGAGAAAGUGACGGUACCUACAGAAGAAGCACCGGCUAACUACGUG
RNAcentral lists this ribosomal RNA (468 nucleotides) under uncultured bacterium. Its description in RNAcentral is "partial 16S ribosomal RNA". It matches the Rfam family "Bacterial small subunit ribosomal RNA", at positions 28 to 507 of the family's 1533-position model. The record is from RNAcentral.